GAUAUGCAGUCGAACGCGUUUGGCGCAAGCCAAACAGUGGCGGACGGCUGAGUAACACGUAGGAACUUACCCCUUUUUGGAGCAUAGCUCGUCGAAAGACGGGGUAAUACUCCAUAGUGUCCGACGUAAGUUGGACUAAAGAGGAUAACUUCUCGAAAAGGGAUAGUCCUGCGUCCUAUCAGAUAGUUGGUGAGGUAACGGCUCACCAAGUCUAUGACGGGUAGCUGGCCCGAGAGGGUGGUCAGCCAGAGGGGGACUGAGACACGGCCCCCACUCCUACGGGAGGCAGCAAUCAGGAAUAGUCGGCAAUGGGCGAAAGCCUGACCGCGCGACGCCGCGUGUAGGAAUAAGCUUUUAUUAAGUGUAAACUACUGUAGUAGAGGAAGAAAGGCCAGCUUAGCUGGCUAUGACGGUACUCUACGAGAAAGGGGCCGCUAACUGCGUGCCAGAAGCGUCGGUAAUACGUGGGCCCCGAACGUUAUCCGGUUUUAUUGGGCAUAAAGGGUCGUGUAGGCGUCUCGAUAAGUCUGGUCUUAAAUACUAUGGCUCAACCAUAGGAAAGGACUGGAUACUAUCGAGAUUGAAUUUUCUUUAGGGAGACUGGAACUUAGGGAGGAGUAGUGAAAUGCGUUGAUACCCUAGGGAACACCGGUGGCGAAGGCGAGUCUCUGGAAGAUAAUUGACGCUGAGACACGAAAGCUAGGGGAGCGAAGCAGAUUAGAGACCUGCGUAGUCCUAGCCCUAAACUAAUGCUUGCUAGCUGCAUGUUCCCGAUUUAUCGGGCACGUGUGGCGAAAGGUAACCCGUUAAGCAAGCCGCCUGGGGAGUACGGCCGCAAGGUUGAAACUCAAAGGAAUUGGCGGGGAGGCACACAACCAGUGGAACAUGUGGUUCAAUUCGAAACGAAACGAAAACCUCACCAAGGUUUGACAUGCUAGCGUCCUAUUUCUAGGAACUAGGAAAUUCGUAGAGGUUAGCA
This 979-nucleotide ribosomal RNA is filed under the name uncultured Microgenomates group bacterium. RNAcentral describes it as "bacterial SSU rRNA". It matches the Rfam family "Bacterial small subunit ribosomal RNA", at positions 52 to 1034 of the family's 1533-position model. The record is from RNAcentral.